Molecule: transfer RNA, 85 nt
Filed under: Holospora curviuscula
Lineage: Bacteria; Pseudomonadati; Pseudomonadota; Alphaproteobacteria; Holosporales; Holosporaceae
Description: tRNA-Leu
Rfam family: tRNA
About the family: Transfer RNA (tRNA) molecules are approximately 80 nucleotides in length.
Source: RNAcentral
GCGGAUAUGGUGAAAUUGGUAGACACGCCAGAUUUAGGUUCUGGUGGCGUGAGCCUUGGGGGUUCAAGUCCCUUUAUCCGCACCA